GACGAACGCUGGCGGCGUGCUUAAUACAUGCAAGUCGAACGCAGUGGGGACGGGUGAGUAACACGUGGGUAACCUCCCAUCAGAGGGGAUAACACUUGGAAACUGGUGCUAAACCGAUACUGAUGGAUGGUCCCGCGGGUCAUUAGCUAGCUGGUGAGGUAACGGCCCACCAAGGCCACGAUGCAUAGCCGGCUGGAGAGGGUGAGCGGCCAAACUGGGACUGAGACACGGCCCAGACUCAGACGGGAGGCAGCAGUAGGGAAUCUUCGGCAAUGGACGAAAGUCUGACCGAGCAACGCCGCGUGAAUGAAGAAGGAUUUCGGAUCGUAAAACACUGUUGUUAGAGAAGCGGUAUCUAAAGAGAAAGCCACGGCUAACUACGUGCCAGCCGCCGCGGUAAUAC
Molecule: ribosomal RNA, 403 nt
Filed under: uncultured bacterium
Lineage: Bacteria
Description: partial 16S ribosomal RNA
Rfam family: Bacterial small subunit ribosomal RNA
Source: RNAcentral